AACCAUUCUCACCUGCGGCUAGACCUGCGGAAGGAUCAUUACCUAGAGUUGUAGGCUUUGCCUGCUAUCUCUUACCCAUGUCUUUUGAGUACCUUACGUUUCCUCGGCGGGUUCGCCCGCCGGUUGGACAAAACUUAAACCCUUUGUAGUUGCAAUCAGCGUCUGAAAAAACUUAAUAGUUACAACUUUCAGCAACGGAUCU
RNAcentral lists this unclassified non-coding RNA (202 nucleotides) under soil metagenome. RNAcentral describes it as "partial contains 5.8S ribosomal RNA, internal transcribed spacer 2, and large subunit ribosomal RNA". The record is from RNAcentral.